Molecule: microRNA, 21 nt
Filed under: Oryzias latipes (Japanese medaka)
Lineage: Eukaryota; Metazoa; Chordata; Actinopteri; Beloniformes; Adrianichthyidae
Description: ola-miR-183-3p
Gene: ola-miR-183-3p
Source: miRBase by way of RNAcentral
GUGAAUUACCAUAGGGCCAUA